Molecule: ribosomal RNA, 424 nt
Filed under: uncultured bacterium
Lineage: Bacteria
Description: bacterial SSU rRNA
Rfam family: Bacterial small subunit ribosomal RNA
Source: RNAcentral
UAACGAAUCUUCCGCAAUGCACGCAAGUGUGACGGAGCGACGCCGCGUGUGGGACGAAGCCCUUCGGGGUGUAAACCACUGUCAGGGGACAGAAAGUUCUGAUCGUCCCCAGAGGAAGGCACGGCUAACUCUGUGCCAGCAGCCGCGGUAAGACAGAGGUGCCAAGCGUUAGGCGGAAUCACUGGGCUUAAAGCGUGUGUAGGCGGAUGCCUAAGUACCUUGUGAAAUCCCACGGCUCAACCGUGGAACUGCUGGGUAUACUGGGUGUCUUGGGCCAACUAGGGGUCGCUGGAACAAAUGGUGGAGCGGUGAAAUGCGUAGAUAUCAUUUGGAACGCCAAGGGCGAAAGCAAGCGACUGGGGUUGUGCCGACGCUGAGACACGAAAGCCAGGGGAGCGAACGGGAUUAGAUACCCCCGUAGUCC